Molecule: long non-coding RNA, 2688 nt
Organism: Wyeomyia smithii (pitcher-plant mosquito)
Lineage: Eukaryota; Metazoa; Arthropoda; Insecta; Diptera; Culicidae
Exons: 2
Source: RefSeq, a predicted model, not a curated record
ACGUAUGUUGAUACUAGCAAUAUCAUUGUAUAAGUUGCCUUCUAACCGCAAGAACACAGCUGGAUGCACGCUUACAGAAGGCAUAAAUCACGCCAUUCUCAGUGGAAGGAAAGUCUCAAUGUGAAUACCUACGGCGGAUGAGAGCAUUCGAAUUGCUGCAGACGUCGUGGAUUGCAACGAUCUUGUAGUAAUAACAAUAGUAAUAACAACAAUCCUACUCGCACAGGUCGGGCGCAGGACGCCGUCGAAGAUGACGACCGAAAGCAGCGGUGAGCGAAUCAAGUGGUUUCAAUCAUUCGUGCAAAUCGUUCCGAACAUCAUCGCAUCGCAUAGCACCGCGCUGCUGUGGAAGGCAGGCAGACGACGUCUGUACUGAUAAGCCAAGAGAAGUGUGUGACCUCGUUGAAUGAUCUUCAGGUCAUCCCCGUUUUCCUUUUUGCUCAGUUUGUUAUAAUAUUUUUGAUAUGCACAACUAUAGGCAAUCGUUUUAGUGGCCGAUGAAUUAUUAUCAACAAGUGUCCACUUCUUACCUUUAUAAAGGUUGUAUUUAGUGCAAGCAUUCAAUUUUUAACAAAAUGGAGAAUAAGUCCACUGAAAAGACUAUUCGGAAUGUAAUAUAGCGCCUCCAGCUCGGUUAAACGGGGACUAUGUGGGUCAUACCCGACAAUUGCAGCAGAUAAGCUGGGGGUGCUAAUUCUCAAGUGUCAGCUCUGUGCUUCUAUCGACAGAAAACGAUACGCAAUUCCUGCCUAGAUUACGAGAACGUCCAUACGGACUGUAUGAACACAGCUUUUAUGUUUCAUUCUAGUAACAAUGCUUCCUGAUUCUGAAAAUCAGAAAACACUGUACUCUCUGAAAGUAUAAAAUAUGACUGCAUAUAGCAACAGGUAGUACCAAAGUGCAAUCGAAUUUGUUGUUGUUUAUGAAGUACUCUAAAAGUAGUGAUUAGUUCCACACGCUUGAACCCACGUUAAUUACAGCCCCUAGGGAUACAAAAAAUUGUUAUCACUACGUACAAAAUUUAUUAAAUCGCCUCUUUUUUGCUUUCUGCUCAAUUAAGCUAUCAAUCGAGUAUCCUGUCUGCUUGGAAAUAAAAGGCUGAAGGCACUUGAAAAAAAAGUGAUAUACUUCAUACCACCAGGAAUGAACAAAGUUCACGAACGCUAGAUGAUAAGCGGAAAGAAAUGCUGAUUAGAUUAAGCGUAAAUCAUAGACAAUGCUAAAAAUCAACGUAAUGCUUUUUUUUUGUAAAAUUUAAAUUAAUCUGUUCUGGCAGGAAAUUCCCACCGAAACGAUACGAUACAAGCAAGGGUAAAUUGGAACUGUUUCUAAGUAAAACGAUGAAAGUGAGAGCUCACACAGCAUCGAAACAAGUACUAAAUUUAUGUGUGCUAACAAUCAAUGUUAUACUAAAUCAUUUCGCAUUGGUUUCAGUGGUGAUUGCUUUAAUUGCGGCCAUAAAUUUCAGAGAAAUAUUCAAACUGAUACUACUAGAUUCCAAUUUACGAGAUCAGAUAAUGACUAUUCACUAUUCCUUAUUUUUACUUAGCAGUAAAAUCUCCUGAGAAUUGCCCGCGAAGCUAUCAUUCAAUAUUAAAGUAAUUAGUGCGAAUUUUUUAUUCAAUCGAAAGCCAACAUUUAUUCCAUUCAAUAUUUGUUAGUGCAGGCAACUGAUUAUAAAAAUGAAAUAAAAAUGAAAACUGUGAACUGUAAUUUUCUCUAUAACGUAUUGGUAAAAUAGAUAACCAAACAUUAUGAAUGUCAAUCAGUUUUUAAAGUAAAACCACACCUUGUAAUAGUACAUUCUAGUGCAAAACUUCAGAAGAAUAGCAACAAACAAACCCAACAAACGAUUGUUAGCGCUGCAUUCUGAUUAUAACCUCUACAACUGUUAUAACACUAAUUUCCUUCAAUUAUUGAUGCUCUCAGAUUGAUACAUAGCAUAAUCAUGUACUUACAGGAUAAUUAAGCACAAUAGUAUUAUAUUAAUUACGUAUAUCUGAACACUCACCCUAUUUCCGGAAUCUGAGCCUUUAACUGCAGGUAACAAUGUUAUAUUCGAAGGCUUGUAAACUUAACCCGCAACUUAUUAUUGCAAAACUUUCUCUCGAACAGAUAUCUUUCACAAAAACCAUGUGUAUUAAUAGUUAGUAGCGCAUCAACCGAUUAUAUAACAAGGUGAAAUUACUAGCUUUAAGUAAACUAUUAAAUGAUAAAACAACAUUUAAUGUACCGGUUAGCUACACGUAAACACAGCGUGGGAUGGCAGAAAGCUUGCGCAAGAUAUGUUGAAAUCUAGAUAAACAUUUCAAAAGGUCCUAUCUAACAUGAAGGCAAAACCGAGUAAAAUGAUCCUGAAGUUCAGCGCAAUAUAUUGUGGCGUCAGCACUAAAUUAAAGUUCGGAGGUCGGACUUCCGACUUCCGAACUUUCUUCCGACUUUACAUACACAUAGAAUAACUGCGUGUUCACGGUGUUCACAGCGCAGUGGCCGCUGAGAUGGUUGCAGUGUUGCGAGAACAACAAAAAUAAACAUCGGAAGUGAGCCUGACUGCCAGAUCAUCGGCGACGAUUUGAUCAUUUUUAUUUAAAUGCACAAUAUUUAAAUGCUAUUUUCAAUUGUAAUGCAAAAGGUUAACUUUUUCCAACUCAACUGCAAAUAAAGGAUGCAAUCUUGAAUUACAACAGA